UGACAUCGAGAGCAGCAGCAUGGCAACAUUCGUCUCGUUGGCAACGUGUCAUCACUGUCCCAUCGUGACGUCUCGCCGAGGUUUGGUGUACCGAGAGUCUCUGUCGGUCCUGUCCAGGAACCUGAGGGCCCCCGGGGGCCCCUACCGAGUCCCUGCCCCCCGGCUGCUGCACAACAAACACCCCUGCAGACUCACCAGACCCGACCUCCCAGAAUCCUUUGCUCUAACUGGCUCCAAGGCUC
Perca flavescens (yellow perch) is the source of this 242-nucleotide long non-coding RNA. RefSeq lists it as uncharacterized. The record is from RefSeq and is a predicted model, not a curated record. NCBI's taxonomy places the organism in Eukaryota, Metazoa, Chordata, Actinopteri, Perciformes, Percidae. The transcript is spliced from 3 exons.